GCCCGGGAAAAAACAGAAUGUCGUCAUUCCAGCCCCAGGCUGAAACACAUUAUCGCCUUUCUCAAGUGGCCGAUCAAGAGACACUGGCUUAUGCGCGUGACCCCGACCGCCCCCGCCUUUGGGAUUUUUUCCUCUGUUUGCCGAAAAGGAGAUUCCCUGUCGGAAUAUUGUCGCUUUUCUACGAGAAAAAUGUCGUAAAAAUUGAUUUUAAACAGCGGUUGACAUGCUUCGAAGUGAAUUACAGGAGAAGGUGAUUCACUCAAUCCAACCAGGAGACUGGGUGUGGAUCCAGUCCCUGAGGAGAAAAAACUGGAAGCAACACCGUUGGGAAGGCCCAUACCAGGUUCUUUUAAACCACUGCCUUUGCCAUUAGAAAAGCUGAGAGAGUCACUUGGGUCCACGUUACCCACUGCAAGGAGGUAUGUACACAUAUGAACACUGCUGAUCACACACAGAGUUAGGAGAAGAACCGAUACCAACAUGGUCCGGGGGUUACCUCUUUAACGAAGAUUCCCUAUCCCGACCGUUCAUCACUGUGUGUGCUCCUAGAGGUGUGAGUAUGGGGUGGUACCUAGCAGAUCGACUAAGGGCAGGAGAGGGUUGGCGGUUUUUGGGAAGAGUAGAGACUCUGAGCUGCAUCAUAGGUUGGGGUUUUUUUGGGAAGAGUAGAGACUCUGAGCUGCAUCAUAGUUUUGGUAACCUUUCUGAUACAUUCAGAUCCACCACCUUC
Molecule: long non-coding RNA, 730 nt
Filed under: Salmo salar (Atlantic salmon)
Lineage: Eukaryota; Metazoa; Chordata; Actinopteri; Salmoniformes; Salmonidae
Description: lncRNA (ENSSSAG00000102859.1)
Source: RNAcentral